GCAGAGGCAGCGUCAGCAGAGAGAAAUGCAGGAGAAGGCGAGGGGAAGGAGGAGAGGUGGGGCAGGUCACCCUCCCUGUUUGGUCAUCAUCUGCUUCCCCACUGGACUAAAAGCUGGGUUCUAGGCGAUUGGCUCUACCCGGUUCACCAGUUUCCUUGGCAUCUAGUACGAGGCCUGGCACACGCUGGGUCCCUAUGUGGAUGGAGUACACAGGGGGAUGGUUAGAGGAGGAAAAGAAGACCCUUCCAUCCAGCCUCUCCAAAUACCUGAUUGCCUCUGUACCAAGGGAAAUAGAUGCACCUUUGGGCCAAGCUGCCUGCCAGUAAAAAAAAAAUACUCUGUUUUUUUUUUUGCUCUCUGAUUCUGGGUGGGAUCCCUGGAGGGAAUCUCUGUGACAGCUGGUGCUGAUGCAUGCAGCCCUCACCCCCUCUCCAGACAAUUGCAUGGCUUCCUGACUAGUCUUACCAUGGAACCCCAACCACCACCUUCCCCAGCCUCCUGUGAAUAAAACGGCGAGUUAGCUCUCUGCCUGGGAACCACUUCAGGGGGCGGGAUCUGCCUCAGGGGCUCCACAGUCGGGUGCUUCCUCCUCAGCAGCCCAUCACACUGCUGUAAUUGCCUGUUUACUUGUCUGUCUUCCUCACUAGGCUGUGAACUGCAAAAGAGAAAGUACCCACCUGAUUUCUCUUUGUAUAUUUAACACUUGGAGGAGCAGAUGUUUGAAAAAUAACUGGAAGGAAGGAAUUGAUGUGCUCACAUGACUCAAGAAUACUUGCAGGGUGAAAGCUUUUUCCCAUUCAUUCUGGGACCCCAGAAACCAGUUCUUAGUGUGAAGUGGGAUUCAGUCGGAGGAUUGAUUCUGAGGCCAAACUGUCAAAUUAAAAUUCUGGCUCCACCAUGGAAUUGCUGGCUC
Manis javanica (Malayan pangolin) is the source of this 913-nucleotide non-coding RNA. Lineage: Eukaryota; Metazoa; Chordata; Mammalia; Pholidota; Manidae. The record is from RefSeq and is a predicted model, not a curated record.